GAUGAUUCAUAGUAAUCGAACGAAUCGCAGGUAUAUGCGAUAAGUCAUUCAAGUUUCUGCCCUAUCAGCUUUGGAUGGUAGUGUAUUGGACUACCAUGGCAGUCACGGGUAACGGAGAAUUAGGGUUCGAUUCCGGAGAGGGAGCCUGAGAAACGGCUACCACAUCUACGGAAGGCAGCAGGCGCGCAAAUUGCCCAAUCCUGACACGGGGAGGCAGUGACAAGAAAUAACAACUCUAGGAUUUCUUAGAAGUGUAAUGAGGAUAAUUUACAAACCUUACCGAAUGCAAUUGGAGGGCAAGUCUGGUGCCAGCAGCCGCGGUAAUUCCAGCUCCAUAGCGUAUAUUAAAGUUGUUGCAGUUAAAAGCUCGUAGUUGAAGUUCUGAUUGCUCAGGUUUCCAGCCUUAGGCGGAGAUACUGACAGUCAUCCGCUUGC
Molecule: ribosomal RNA, 435 nt
Filed under: uncultured eukaryote
Lineage: Eukaryota
Description: SSU rRNA
Rfam family: Eukaryotic small subunit ribosomal RNA
Source: RNAcentral